RNAcentral lists this transfer RNA (71 nucleotides) under Phycisphaerales bacterium. RNAcentral's name for it is "tRNA-Gln". It matches the Rfam family "tRNA". From Rfam's summary of the family: Transfer RNA (tRNA) molecules are approximately 80 nucleotides in length. Their secondary structure includes four short double-helical elements and three loops (D, anti-codon, and T loops). The record is from RNAcentral. Lineage: Bacteria; Pseudomonadati; Planctomycetota; Phycisphaerae; Phycisphaerales.
GGGGCAUUAGUGUAACGGUAGCACGAGUGAUUCUGGUUCACUUAGUCAAGGUUCGAAUCCUUGAUGCCCUA